This is an RNA transcript of Thunnus maccoyii (southern bluefin tuna), 648 nucleotides long. It is a transcript of the gene named cytochrome c oxidase assembly protein COX15 homolog, with no coding region annotated. NCBI's taxonomy places the organism in Eukaryota, Metazoa, Chordata, Actinopteri, Scombriformes, Scombridae. The transcript has 5 exons. The record is from RefSeq and is a predicted model, not a curated record.
AACACUAGCACUCCUGGAAGAAAGACAACAGGAUUGUAAUUGCAGAGAACUAGAGAAAGGUAAACAGUAGAGAGAAAGAGAGAGAGCCGUCACAUUUCGUUUUCUUCCAGGGCCUUCUGGGUUGGUACAUAGUAAAAAGCAGUUUGGAGGAGAAGCCUGAGUCCUAUGACAUCCGGCGGGUCAGCCAGUAUUGACUGAGUGCUCACCUCGGUUCUGCGUUGCUACUCUACUGCGCCAGUCUCUGGACCGGGCUUACUCUGAUGCUGCCUGUCAGCAAGAUGGCAGAGACCAAACGUCUAAUGCAGCUCAGGAGGUUUGCCAAGGGUACUGGUGGACUCGUCUUCCUCACUGCUCUUUCCAGUACUGCUUGUUGUUGUGCCAGCACAAUGUCAAAAAUAUAAAUGUGUGCUUUUGUUGCUGGUUUGGAUGCUGGGCUGGUGUAUAACUCCUUCCCUAAGAUGGGAGAUCGAUGGAUCCCUGAUGAUCUGCUGGCCUUUUCCCCUGCCCUCAAGAACUUCUUUGAAAACCCCACGACAAUGCAGUUCGACCACAGAGUUUUGAUGGCGGUAGAUUCAUUUCAACUGGGCAGGGCAUGAGCAGUCAAGCGGCUCCAGGGAGGUGUUACCCACAUGCACAGAGGCAGGAUCA